AGCCAGGUAACCGCUCCCGGCCAAUUCCGGCGCAGGGGGAGGAACUUCCGGACUCCACAGGGCAGUGUGCCGCUCGAAAGGGCGGGGGAAUUUCCACGGAAAGUGCCACAGAAAAUAAACCGCCCGCAAGGGUAAGGGUGAAAAGGUGCGGUAAGAGCGCACCGCGCGCGAGGUAACAAGCGCGGCAAGGCAAACCCCACACGGAGCAAGGCCAAGCCGGUCCACAGGUGCCCGCCUUCGUGACCAAGUAGGCCGCUUAGAGUAAUGGUUACCACCCAGUUUUACUAAUCGGCUGGGACAGAAUCCGGGGUAUCGGCUGC
RNAcentral lists this RNase P RNA (320 nucleotides) under bovine gut metagenome. RNAcentral's name for it is "Bacterial RNase P class A". It matches the Rfam family "Bacterial RNase P class A". From Rfam's summary of the family: Ribonuclease P (RNase P) is a ubiquitous endoribonuclease, found in archaea, bacteria and eukarya as well as chloroplasts and mitochondria. The record is from RNAcentral.